This 468-nucleotide ribosomal RNA is filed under the name uncultured bacterium. RNAcentral's name for it is "SSU rRNA". It matches the Rfam family "Bacterial small subunit ribosomal RNA", at positions 26 to 518 of the family's 1533-position model. The record is from RNAcentral.
AGAGCGAACGCUGGCGGCAUGCUUAACACAUGCAAGUCGCACGGUCAGCAAUGGCAGUGGCGGACGGGUGAGUAACGCGUAGGAAUCUAUCCAGAGGUGGGGGACAACGGUUGGAAACGACUGCUAAUACCGCAUGUUACCUGAGGGUUAAAGGCGCAAGUCGCCUUUGGAGGAGCCUGCGUCUGAUUAGCUUGUUGGUGGGGUAAAGGCUUACCAAGGCGACGAUCAGUAGCUGGUCUGAGAGGAUGAUCAGCCACAUUGGGACUGAGACACGGCCCAAACUCCUACGGGAGGCAGCAGUGGGGAAUAUUGGACAAUGGGGGCAACCCUGAUCCAGCAAUGCCGCGUGUGUGAAGAAGGCCUGCGGGUUGUAAGCACUUUAGUGGGGAUGAAAAGCCUAGGGCUAAUACCCUUGGGUCUUGACCUAACCAAAGAAAACGCACCGGCUAACUCUGUGCCAGCAGCCGC